UGCCAACUGGAACAGGGCAAGAGAGGGAGGUGAUUUCCACUUACUGCCGGGGUGUCCUGGAUUGGACCGUAUCCUGCAACAGAAAGAAAUGUUGCAGAAUUGGAUCAGUGAUAGAGACGAGGAGCUGACAGGAGGAUCAAACUACUGAAAUAUAUGUGGCUUCUGUCUGCCUGCCACAUCUCUUGGUACAGCGAGCUGUCUAAGACCAUUAGCCCUGACAGCACUCCUGGAUUUUCACCUCAGGGCUUUACUGGAGUGGGCUUUGACGUGUUUGCGCAGGGAACUGGGGUCCGUGUAACGCUUGGUGCAUCCUGGGAGCUGACAUGCGUAUGGUUUCUACAAGAAAU
Long non-coding RNA from Paramisgurnus dabryanus, 347 nucleotides. RefSeq lists it as uncharacterized. The record is from RefSeq and is a predicted model, not a curated record. Lineage: Eukaryota; Metazoa; Chordata; Actinopteri; Cypriniformes; Cobitidae.